AUGUUACUGAGCAGCCAUUAUAUGUUGUCUUCACUCUGUAGGUUGAUCCUGAAGAUGAUGUUUCCUACACCUCCAUUAGCUAGAAGACCCACUGUAAAGCCCAGGUGCUGGGUGGUGGUGAAGCAGUGACCUCCAACACUGUGAAAGCAUCCUCCUCUUCUGCUUGAGCCUCUGCUGAUCACAGCAACCUUUAUGCUACCAUCAACUAACCAAAAUCUAACAUUAUAUAGUUACAUUUAAUAUCACUGCAUUAAUUUUAUAGUUAUACUUCAUUACUAAAAGCUUUCUGCUGUGAAGACAAAGUUGUUUUUGUAAGAAUGGGUUGAAUUUUUUCAUUGCUUUAGUGGUAUUGUAUUGUGAAUAAAAUGUCUAUGUAAUCCAAAUGUUGGACAAUAUUUAAUCCUCAUUCUUUAACUCACUGUUAUUUUCUAGUAUUAUAAUCUUGCAGUUUGUUUUUAACAUGUGUUCAUCCUUCUUUCCUGUACAGCUGUAAAGCGCUUUUUGUCCAGAAGGGGGAGAUGUAAGCUAAGUUAUUACCACUAUGUAAAUGCGUUUGCCCAAGUUGAUUGCCAUAUAAAUAUGAUACUUUUGCUCAAUGAACUUGCUGUCAGGCACCUUAUUGUGCUAUGAUGUAUGUACUGUUGCGUGGUAGGAUUAAUGAUUCGGACAGGAUAAAGAAUUACAAUAUGUAUUUACAGAUAUAUAUAUACUGUAGUGAUUGGACACUAUGUGAAAGUUAUAGAAAAAAUUGAAAAUGCUAAAAGCUCUUCACACACAGUCUUACACACAGGUAGCAUGUAGGAUGUUAAAACUGCACAUCAAGAUGGAUCACAAAACCUUGUAAUAUAUAAACAUAUAUACAUACAUAUAAAUGUCCUCCUUAAAAGGCAUUAGACUAUUGUGGUGAAAAUAUCUCCAGGUCUCUUAAAAACUGGAUAUGGAAAUUAGGAAGUAGGGGUUUUUCAUAUUUUGGGAAUUUCUUUAAAACUCAGCUGCAUAUUCACAUAGCCAUAACACAGUGGUGUUUAGUGGCCAUUUGAAAAGGAUCUUUAGAGGACGUGCUGGGGACAUUUUUUGGGGGGGUUUUCUGGGUAUAUUUACUACACAAUAAAACAUAGACAGAUGCUGU
RNAcentral lists this long non-coding RNA (1129 nucleotides) under Dicentrarchus labrax (European seabass). Its description in RNAcentral is "lncRNA (ENSDLAG00005033553.1)". The record is from RNAcentral. Lineage: Eukaryota; Metazoa; Chordata; Actinopteri; Moronidae.